GAUGAACGCUGGCGGCGUGCUUAACACAUGCAAGUCGAACGGGAAGGCCCAAGCUUGCUUGGGUACUCGAGUGGCGAACGGGUGAGUAACACGUGGGUGAUCUGCCCUGCACUUCGGGAUAAGCCUGGGAAACUGGGUCUAAUACCGGAUAGGACCACAUUUUGGAUGGUGUGGUGGAAAGUUUUUCGGUGUGGGAUGAGCUCGCGGCCUAUCAGCUUGUUGGUGGGGUAAUGGCCUACCAAGGCGUCGACGGGUAGCCGGCCUGAGAGGGUGUACGGCCACAUUGGGACUGAGAUACGGCCCAGACUCCUACGGGAGGCAGCAGUGGGGAAUAUUGCACAAUGGGCGCAAGCCUGAUGCAGCGACGCCGCGUGGGGGAUGACGGCCUUCGGGUUGUAAACUCCUUUCGCUAGGGACGAAGCGUUAUGUGACGGUACCUGGAGAAGAAGCACCGGCUAACUACGU
Molecule: ribosomal RNA, 465 nt
Filed under: uncultured bacterium
Lineage: Bacteria
Description: partial 16S ribosomal RNA
Rfam family: Bacterial small subunit ribosomal RNA
Source: RNAcentral